UUCCUCUUUGGGCAGCACAUUUACUAAAACUGGAAUGAUACAGAGAAGAUUAGCAGUAAGGACAUGGUCAGGUUUUCAAUAUUUUU
Molecule: non-coding RNA, 86 nt
Organism: Podarcis lilfordi (Lilford's wall lizard)
Lineage: Eukaryota; Metazoa; Chordata; Lepidosauria; Squamata; Lacertidae
Source: the annotation of a GenBank genome assembly